GACCAGACUCCUACGGGAGGCAGCAGUGGGGGAUAUUGCACAAUGGGGGGAACCCUGAUGCAGCGACGCCGCGUGAACGAAGAAAUAUUUCGGUAUGUAAAGUUCUAUCAGCAGGGAAGAAAAUGACAGUACCUGACCAAGAAGCCCCGGCUAACUACGUGCCAGCAGCCGCGGUAAUACGUAGGGGGCGAGCGUUAUCCGGAUUCACUGGGCGUAAAGGGAGCGCAGGCGGCACGGCAAGUCCGGUGUGAAAGGCGGGGGCUCAACCCCCGGACUGCUCUGGAAACUGUACGGCUGGAGUGCAGGAGAGGUAAGUGGAAUUCCUAGUGUAGCGGUGAAAUGCGUAGAUAUUAGGAGGAACACCAGUGGCGAAGGCGGCUUACUGGACUGUAACUGACGUUGAGGCUCGAAAGCGUGGGGAGCAAACAGGAUUAGAUACCCCGGUA
RNAcentral lists this ribosomal RNA (446 nucleotides) under uncultured bacterium. Its description in RNAcentral is "bacterial SSU rRNA". It matches the Rfam family "Bacterial small subunit ribosomal RNA", at positions 329 to 792 of the family's 1533-position model. The record is from RNAcentral.